This 31-nucleotide non-coding RNA is filed under the name Rattus norvegicus (Norway rat). The record is from RNAcentral. Lineage: Eukaryota; Metazoa; Chordata; Mammalia; Rodentia; Muridae.
AUGCAUCUCGUUGAGUUGUGUCUUAUGUGUC